GACGAACGCUGGCGGCGUGCUUAACACAUGCAAGUCGAACGGAAAGGCCCUGCUUUUGUGGGGUGCUCGAGUGGCGAACGGGUGAGUAACACGUGAGUAACCUGCCCUUGACUUUGGGAUAACUUCAGGAAACUGGGGCUAAUACCGGAUAGGAGCUCCUGCUGCAUGGUGGGGGUUGGAAAGUUUCGGCGGUUGGGGAUGGACUCGCGGCUUAUCAGCUUGUUGGUGGGGUAGUGGCUUACCCAGGCUUUGACGGGUAGCCGGCCUGAGAGGGUGACCGGCCACAUUGGGACUGAGAUACGGCCCAGACUCCUACGGGAGGCAGCAGUGGGGAAUAUUGCCCAAUGGGCGGAAGCCUGAUGCAGCAACGCCGCGUGCGGGAUGACGGCCUUCGGGUUGUAAACCGCUUUCGCCUGUGACGAAGCGUGAGUGACGGUAAUGGGUAAAGAAGCACCGGCUAACUACGUG
This 468-nucleotide ribosomal RNA is filed under the name uncultured bacterium. Its description in RNAcentral is "partial 16S ribosomal RNA". It matches the Rfam family "Bacterial small subunit ribosomal RNA", at positions 28 to 507 of the family's 1533-position model. The record is from RNAcentral.